This 433-nucleotide ribosomal RNA is filed under the name uncultured bacterium. RNAcentral describes it as "bacterial SSU rRNA". It matches the Rfam family "Bacterial small subunit ribosomal RNA", at positions 29 to 507 of the family's 1533-position model. The record is from RNAcentral.
AACGAACGCUGGCGGCAUGCCUAACACAUGCAAGUCGAACGAAGCCUUCGGGCUUAGUGGCGCACGGGUGCGUAACGCGUGGGAAUCUGCCCUUGGGUUCGGAAUAACAGUUAGAAAUGACUGCUAAUACCGGAUGAUGUCUUCGGACCAAAGAUUUAUCGCCCAAGGAUGAGCCCGCGUAGGAUUAGGUAGUUGGUGGGGUAAAGGCCUACCAAGCCGACGAUCCUUAGCUGGUCUGAGAGGAUGAUCAGCCACACUGGGACUGAGACACGGCCCAGACUCCUACGGGAGGCAGCAGUGGGGAAUAUUGGACAAUGGGGGCAACCCUGAUCCAGCAAUGCCGCGUGAGUGAUGAAGGCCUUAGGGUCGUAAAGCUCUUUUACCAGGGAUGAUAAUGACAGUACCUGGAGAAUAAGCUCCGGCUAACUCCGUG